RNAcentral lists this transfer RNA (69 nucleotides) under Ictidomys tridecemlineatus (thirteen-lined ground squirrel). RNAcentral describes it as "Spermophilus tridecemlineatus (thirteen-lined ground squirrel) tRNA". It matches the Rfam family "tRNA". Rfam says of the family: Transfer RNA (tRNA) molecules are approximately 80 nucleotides in length. Their secondary structure includes four short double-helical elements and three loops (D, anti-codon, and T loops). Lineage: Eukaryota; Metazoa; Chordata; Mammalia; Rodentia; Sciuridae. The record is from Rfam by way of RNAcentral.
GGGGUUGUAGCUCAACGGUAGAGCACUUGCCUUGAACACAUGAAACCCUGGGUUCAAUCCCCAGCACCA